Molecule: non-coding RNA, 42 nt
Filed under: Prorocentrum micans
Lineage: Eukaryota; Dinophyceae; Prorocentrales; Prorocentraceae
Source: RNAcentral
UUUUUUUUUUUUUUUUUUUUUUUUUUUUUUUCCCACGCUCUG